Molecule: ribosomal RNA, 248 nt
Filed under: uncultured bacterium
Lineage: Bacteria
Description: partial 16S ribosomal RNA
Rfam family: Bacterial small subunit ribosomal RNA
Source: RNAcentral
AGCAUGUGGAUUAAUUCGAUGCAACGCGAAAAACCUUACCUACCCUUGACAUGUACGGAAGUCCGAUGAGAGGUGGAUGUUCCCGAAAGGGAGCCGUAACACAGGUGCUGCAUGUCAGUCGUCAGCUCGUGUCGUGAGAUGUUGGGUUAAGUCCAGCAACGAGCGCAACCCUUGUCCCUAGUUGCUAAGCAAGGGCAUUCCAGGGAGACUGCCGGUGACAAACCGGAGGAAGGUGGGGAUGACGUCAA